UUUCAAAUGUCUACUGAUGGA
Molecule: microRNA, 21 nt
Filed under: Nematostella vectensis (starlet sea anemone)
Lineage: Eukaryota; Metazoa; Cnidaria; Anthozoa; Actiniaria; Edwardsiidae
Description: nve-miR-2026-5p
Source: miRBase by way of RNAcentral